This 1620-nucleotide ribosomal RNA is filed under the name marine sediment metagenome. RNAcentral describes it as "bacterial LSU rRNA". It matches the Rfam family "Bacterial large subunit ribosomal RNA", at positions 581 to 2143 of the family's 2925-position model. The record is from RNAcentral.
GCUCCCCGGAAGGCCUGACGGCGUGCCUUUUGGAGAAUGAGCCGGCGAGUUACUCUCUGUGGCGAGGUUAAGGGAGUCACACCCGGAGCCGUAGCGAAAGCGAGUCCGAAUAGGGCGCAAGCCCAGCCCUUUAGGGGGCUGGGGAGUCGCAGGGAGUAGACCCGAAACCGGGUGAGCUACCCAUGGCCAGGGUGAAGCGAGGGUAAAACCUCGUGGAGGCCCGAACCCACUAGAGUUGCAAAUCUAGGGGAUGAGCUGUGGGUAGGGGUGAUAUGCCAAACGAACCCGGAGAUAGCUGGUUCUCCCCGAAAUAGCUUUAGGGCUAGCCUCAGGGGUUCAAUGGCGGAGGUAGAGCACUGGAUGGGCUAGGGGGCGUAUAGCUUACCAAACCCAACCAAACUCCGAAUGCCGCCAUUUAACACCCUGGGAGUCGGACAGUGGAAGAUAACUCCCAUUGUCGAGAGGGGAACAACCCAGACCGCUGGCUAAGGUCCCCAAGUCCAGGCUAAGUGGGGAAGGAUGUGGGACUACUGAGACAGCCAGGAGGUUGGCUUAGAAGCAGCCAUCCUUUAAAGAGUGCGUAAUAGCUCACUGGUCUAGUGGUCCUGCGCCGAAAAUGUAACGGGGCUCAAGCCUGGCGCCGAAGCCGCGGGAUGUGGCCCUUAAGGGGCCGCAUCGGUAGGGGAGCGUUCCGCCGGCGUGGAAGCCGUACCGAAAGGAGCGGUGGAGCAGGCGGAAGUGAGAAUGCCGGCAUGAGUAGCGCAAGACGUGUGAGAAACACGUCCGCCGUAAGCCUAAGGUUUCCGACGGAAGGUUAAUCCGCGUCGGGUUAGGCGGGAGCUAAGGCGAGGCCGAAAGGCGUAGCCGAUGCACAGCCGGUCAAUAUUCCGGCCCCACCUGGGAGGAGCGAUGGGGUGACGCAGGAGGGUAGGCCAGCCGGCGAUUGGAAGUGCCGGUGCCAAGCCUGUAGGGCGAUGACGGAGGUAGGCAAAUCCGCCUCCCGAGCCUGAGGGGUGAUGGCGGUGCCUUCGGGCCACAAGUGGCUGAGCCCACACUGCCGAGAAAAGCCUCUAAGCGAUGAAUCCCAGGUGCCCGUACCGCAAACCGACACUGGUAGGCGGGGAGAGAAUCCCAAGGCGAUCGGGAGAACCCUCGUUAAGGAACUCGGCAAAAUGGCUCCGUAACUUCGGGAGAAGGAGCGCCCCAUUAGGGUGAAGGAGCUAGCCUCUGGAGCCCGAAGGGGUCGCAGAGAAACGGCCCUGGCGACUGGUUAACAAAACCACAGGUCUCUGCUAACUCGCAAGAGGAAGUAUAGGGGCUGACGCCUGCCCAGUGCCGGAAGGUUAAGGGGACGGGUUAGCCAGGGGCAACCCUGGCGAAGCUCUGAACCGAAGCCCCGGUGAACGGCGGCCGUAACUCUAACGGUCCUAAGGUAGCGAAAUACCUUGUCGGGUAAGUUCCGACCCGCACGAAUGGCGUAACGACUGGGGCGCUGUCUCAACGAGGGACCCGGUGAAAUUGAACUGGCCGUGAAGAUGCGGCCUACCCGCAGCAGGACAAAAAGACCCCGUGGAGCUUUACUGCAGCUUGGCAUUGAGUUAGGGCUUAGCCUGUGUAGGA